CAAUAGCGUAUAUUAAAGUUGUUGCAGUUAAAAAGCUCGUAGUUGGAUUUCUGGUCGGAAGCUCCUGUCCUCUGAUGAGCGUACAAGUGCGUCCUACCAUCCUUCUGUUAACCUUUAAGGCUUUCGCGGCUUUCUAGGGGCUCAGAUAUUUUACCUUGAGAAAAUUAGAGUGUUUCAGGCAGGCUAGCGCCGGAAUACAUUAGCAUGGAAUAAUGGAAUAGGACUUUUGCCUCUUCUGUUGGUCAUGAGGCUCGAGUAAUGAUUAAUAGGGAUAGUUGGGGGCAUUAGUACUUAAUUGUCAGAGGUGAAAUUCUCGGAUUUGUUAAAGACUAACUUAUGCGAAAGCAUUUGCCAAGGAUGUUUUCAUUAA
Molecule: ribosomal RNA, 370 nt
Filed under: uncultured eukaryote
Lineage: Eukaryota
Description: partial 18S ribosomal RNA
Rfam family: Eukaryotic small subunit ribosomal RNA
Source: RNAcentral